Molecule: long non-coding RNA, 191 nt
Organism: Sebastes umbrosus (honeycomb rockfish)
Lineage: Eukaryota; Metazoa; Chordata; Actinopteri; Perciformes; Sebastidae
Exons: 3
Source: RefSeq, a predicted model, not a curated record
AAAAAAAGUCAUAGUAUAGUAUGUCAAAAAAAUGUCAGUUAAAAUAUGCCGAAAAAAAAGUCAGUUUAGUAUGUUGAAAAUCAUAAAGAAAGUUAUAGUAUAGUAUGUGUCGAUUACUUUAAUGCUUAAUCAUUCAAUGUAUAAACUGUCCAUCAUAAGCUGCUUCCUUUGUUACUACAGCAAAAAAAAAA